UUUUUUUUAAAGCCGAGAAAUUUGCCGUGUUUGAUAGCUAGCUGCGAGACCUCACACCGUGCACAUCUACUGCGGGUGUGGUGCCUGUUAUCGGACCUGGAGUUAGCAACAUCCCCCCAAAAGAGUAGAGUCCUGCCCCUAGCCCUGUCAGCAUAGCAGAAAUGAUGAGGAUGAUGAUGUCAGCAGCAGCCGUUCUCCUCUGCGUGGGUACAGCGUGCAAUGCAGGGAGGCAGGCAGGAGAGACUGGCCGUUUGAAAAGGGAGAGGUUACCGGCAGCUGAAAACUGGAAUCCAGGAGAGCUUGGUAGGUGGGUUCCAGAUGCUGACGAGAAAACAGAAAUAAGGUGAGGAACAACAAAGACUCCGCCCACGGGGGGAGGAGCUGAUGCUGUGGAAAACUACCCAGACCAUGACACCACCCCCCCGUCAAGGGUCGACCCCCGGCGACCGAACCACCCCCUGCCCGCGCCGAGCCCUGUAAAAAGCAGAAAGCAAAGCAGGAUCCAAAAUCAACGAACGGGACACCCAGGACCGCUCCUCCGGCCUGUAACCCUCCCAGUCCACCAAGAACUGCCGG
Molecule: long non-coding RNA, 576 nt
Organism: Oreochromis aureus
Lineage: Eukaryota; Metazoa; Chordata; Actinopteri; Cichliformes; Cichlidae
Source: Ensembl